GGUAGCGUGGCCGAGCGGUCUAAGGCGCUGGUUUUAGGCACCAGUCAUGUCGAUGGCGUGGGUUCGAAUCCCACCGCUGCCA
This is a non-coding RNA of Ciona savignyi (Pacific transparent sea squirt), 82 nucleotides long. Lineage: Eukaryota; Metazoa; Chordata; Ascidiacea; Phlebobranchia; Cionidae. The record is from Rfam.